Molecule: transfer RNA, 60 nt
Filed under: Caudoviricetes sp.
Lineage: Duplodnaviria; Heunggongvirae; Uroviricota; Caudoviricetes
Description: tRNA-Asn
Source: RNAcentral
GCGGAGGAUGCCAUCGGCCUGUUGCAGCCGUAGCCCGGGUUCGACUCCCGGCGAUCCGCA